AUUGAACGCUGGCGGCAUGCCUUACACAUGCAAGUCGAACGGUAACAGGUUAAGCUGACGAGUGGCGAACGGGUGAGUAAUGUAUCGGAACGUGCCCAGUCGUGGGGGAUAACUGCUCGAAAGAGCAGCUAAUACCGCAUACGACCUGAGUGUGAAAGCGGGGGAUCGCAAGACCUCGCGCGAUUGGAGCGGCCGAUAUCAGAUUAGGUAGUUGGUGAGGUAAAGGCUCACCAAGCCGACGAUCUGUAGCUGGUCUGAGAGGACGACCAGCCACACUGGGACUGAGACACGGCCCAGACUCCUACGGGAAGCAGCAGUGGGGAAAUUUGGACCAUGGGCGCAAGCCUGAUCCAGCCAUGCCGCGUGCGGGAAGAAGGCCUUCGGGUUGUAAACCGCUUUUGUCAGGGAAGAAAAGGUUCUGGCUAAUACCUGGGACUCAUGACGGUACCUGAAGAAUAAGCACCGGCUAACUACGUG
RNAcentral lists this ribosomal RNA (477 nucleotides) under uncultured bacterium. Its description in RNAcentral is "partial 16S ribosomal RNA". It matches the Rfam family "Bacterial small subunit ribosomal RNA", at positions 30 to 507 of the family's 1533-position model. The record is from RNAcentral.